GAGGAAUGCGCCGCCUUCACCGCGGCACGAGCGACCCGUCCCGACCAGAGCGCCGUCGUGGCGCUGCCGACGGGCGUAGGGCCCUGGGGGUGACGGUCUGGAGGGGGUUUUGCCGUCGCUUCCUCACGUUUGGGGUUCGGUGGCGUAAACGACCUUCUGGCGACGUGACCGGCACCGUGCACGUGCCUCAUGCCGCCCGCAGUGCGCGUCGGGCCGGGUGGAUGAACGAAGCUGCCGCCGUGAGGAUUAAUUACUCACGCUGCCUGAAGUGCUGUGGAAGAAGCUCAGUCAUUGCAAUACUUGGGGUUUCAAUAUGACCGAGCGUAUCUGUUGGGAAAUGCUUCCAAUCGCUAGGUGAUGCCAUUCGAGAAAUCAAAAGCUACCGGGAGUAAGUGAUGGUUGUGCAAAUGUGCGGAUGCUUGGUUACUUCUUCAGCGGCGUCCACUAAUUUGGGGAUGUUUUCAUCUCUGGAUGCCCAGUUGGAGUUGGCUCAUCAGGGCUUAUGUUUGUACGUAAGCCUCUGGUGGAUGUCACACAUGGAAGCCGUGGCUUCUUCAGCCGUACCGGCACAGCCGGGCACGCAGGCAGCGGGAUCCCUGUGGUCUUGGCCUUGGAGAACUACCAGACUGUUUUCUUCAUGCCAAAACAUUGGGUGUCAGCCCUACCGCAUGGAAAAGCACCUUCAAAUACAGCCAGGAGACUGAGUUCAUAAGCAGCACAGUAACACACAGCCGUCACACGUGAGAAAUGGUUGGCUUUCCAGUGGUGAGCCGACGGCACGCAUGAGUUCACCGGCGAGGAACCAGAGGUAGACCCGAUGGCUUUGUCAGCUCCCUUGUGCUGCUCACCUCUGCCCUCAGCAGCACUGUGCUGUUCUGUGACUGGCCUGAGAGAGAAGACAAAGCGCCCUACGCUUUUCCAUCUCGAGUUGGUGGUGCAGUGGUACACGGUGCCCAAAGAGCUCUUUUCGUAACUCGUCGUCUUUCCGCCGGCUGUACAAGGAGCCGCUUCACUGGAUAAGAUUAAGUUUAUAGGACAUAAAAUCAGGCCAGCCUGUCCUUUGUGCCACGAGUUCUUAUUGUUUACUGGAUUCUGCACCGGGAACCAAGGUACGUACGUAAAGAACUGAAAUCUAGGAUCAGGAAGGACCGUCGCGUGUGUCAAAGAUGUCAUCAUUUCCAAGACAACCCCACGAAUUUAAAGCGAGGAGUUCAUGAACACGAUGCGUUACGCAUCAUCAUGUCUUCAUCACAUCUUCCAGAGGACGUGGAAGAAGACUAAGGGGCUUUUAGCCAUAAGUAUCAGCAUCUCAAAAGGCCUUUCUUUGCGUGUUUUAAAUUCUCAGUGACUGCUCUAUCUCAAAGAGGCUUCCUGUUACUUUGCAUGGUCUGCAGGACUGGGCGGGGGCUGUUGGUUAUUUUAGAGGCACCACAGAAAAUGUUCUUUGUUUAUAAGUUAAUAGACCCGCCUUAUUAAUCCUGCUUUUACAGUGCUUUCUGCAAAUGAAACCUGGAACAUGAGAAUCACAUCUUCACACUUUAACUGCCAGCCCCAGCAGUUAAAGUUUUAUGCAAAGCGAACUGUGAGCGUGUGGGCAGGGCAGUGCCCCCCAUGGAUUUGCUGGGUAUAACUGGGUGGUCCAAACCAGUGUGCUGCUUUGGGUGCAUGAGGAGCAGAGUCAGCAUCUGACCGAGUCCCAGAAGUCUGAAUGAACACACAAGACUGAUGGCUGCCCUACAAUCCUCUAACAGUGCCUUUGAAUGAUCCCAGUUCAGUUGGCACAGCUGUUGGCACAACAAGGCCAUUCCUGAGAAGGCACCGACAGACAGAUGGACGCUCUGCUUUGUGCUGCGUGGUUUUGCAGUGUCUCUGGGCAGCUGAUGGAGCAAGGGUUUCACUGCCUCUGCUGUGUUCUCACUAAGGCGUUGCGGCAGCCUGAACUCAUCUUCCCUCUUGGAUCAUGUGUGGUAUCCUCCAUUAGUAACACUUUGCUCUGACAGGCGUCCUGCUGUGCACUGCAGCAGUCAGGGGCUAAAUAAUUUAUUUGGGAAGCAAGUUUUGUGCAUGGCUUGAAAAAGGGAGGAGGACAGGAAUAUUGCAACAGUGAACCAUGGGGUGGAUUUCAGCGGUAGCCUUGGAGAAACACAUUGUGCCCUAUGGUCUCUGAGCAUUGCGCUUUGCCAUCCAUUGUUUCAAAAUUGCUUUCUCUCCCAUAAUUAUCUUUACAAGAGGAGGCGGAUCCAAAGCAUUUGUUUGUGCUUUUUUUGUUUUUUUUCUUUCAAGGUAGUCCAUUGAUUUCCAUUUCUAAUAAUAAGUGUGAAUAAGCAAAAGGAAAAAAAAAAAAAACACAGUAAUACGUUAGCUGGUAUUUAAAAUAGAGAGAACAGGUCUGUUUGCCACAGCACGCUCCGUAUGUGGACAUCAAAGUGUCUUACAGAGGUCAUAAUUCUCAUUUCAAAGAUGAGGAAGCAGAGGUGCAGGGGGAAGUGGCUGGCUUAGCCGGUCAGCGCCGGAGCUGGGCGAGAUCUCCAAACCUUCCCUCCCUUAAUCAGGAUGGUUCAGGUCCCAGGUGCAAUGAAGGCACCGUGACGCUGCAGGGAGAGCAGCAAACCACGCAGCCAGCAAAGCCUGGUUUCCUUCUGUUCUGUCCAAGGCUUCUGUGAUGUUGGCCUUCGAUGGUGCAGUCAUGAGGUGCCAGUGGCCUUUCCCUCACCAAGGGCACUGAUGGAGUGUGGCUCUCCAGCUUUGUUGUCCAUUUCCCCCAAAGUUUAAGGCACUUGAGAAUUUCUGAGCCUUUCUGUCAGGCAUGGUUGCUAUGAACCAGUGAGUCACAAAAAACGUGUGCUUGCAUGCAUACACCCAUGCAUGCACACACAGACCUAUAUCUUGGCAUUGCAACAUGAGGGA
This 2907-nucleotide long non-coding RNA is filed under the name Gallus gallus (chicken). RNAcentral's name for it is "lncRNA (ENSGALG00010019639.1)". Lineage: Eukaryota; Metazoa; Chordata; Aves; Galliformes; Phasianidae. The record is from RNAcentral.